This 496-nucleotide ribosomal RNA is filed under the name uncultured bacterium. Its description in RNAcentral is "partial 16S ribosomal RNA". It matches the Rfam family "Bacterial small subunit ribosomal RNA", at positions 29 to 507 of the family's 1533-position model. The record is from RNAcentral.
AUGAACGCUGGCGGCGUGCCUAAUACAUGCAAGUCGAGCGAACGGACGAGAAGCUUGCUUCUCUGAUGUUAGCGGCGGACGGGUGAGUAACACGUGGAUAACCUACCUAUAAGACUGGGAUAACUUCGGGAAACCGGAGCUAAUACCGGAUGAUAUUUUGAACCGCAUGGUUCAAAAGUGAAAGACGGUCUUGCUGUCACUUAUAGAUGGAUCCGCGCUGCAUUAGCUAGUUGGUAAGGUAACGGCUUACCAAGGCAACGAUGCAUAGCCGUCCUGAGAGGGUGAUCGGCCACACUGGAACUGAGACACGGUCCAGACUCCUACGGGAGGCAGCAGUAGGGAAUCUUCCGCAAUGGGCGAAAGCCUGACGGAGCAACGCCGCGUGAGUGAUGAAGGUCUUCGGAUCGUAAAACUCUGUUAUUAGGGAAGAACAUAUGUGUAAGUAACUGUGCACAUCUUGACGGUACCUAAUCAGAAAGCCACGGCUAACUACGUG